Molecule: ribosomal RNA, 420 nt
Filed under: Triticum aestivum (bread wheat)
Lineage: Eukaryota; Viridiplantae; Streptophyta; Magnoliopsida; Poales; Poaceae
Description: partial small subunit ribosomal RNA
Source: RNAcentral
AUGGAUACUCUCGUCGACACCGUGGGACUGGGAGCGCCCCUGGACGUGCAAGCCGGCGGACCCGAUCUCGUCGUCGAGACCAACGUCGACGUGCCAGAUAGCUUCAAAGGCAGGAGACCUGAUCCCGUUGACACCAACGUCGACGUGCCAGAUAGCUCCAAACGCAGGAGACUUGAUCCCGUCGACACGGGCGCAGGCGACAGCGGCGAACUGAUGUUGUUGCUCCGGGACUUCCCUGCCACCGGCAAUGAAGGUGUCUUCCCUCUCAAGGUGUUGUGCGACAUCCUACUGCGCCUCCCAGCAAGGCCGAUCUGCCGAUUCCGCUGCGUCUCCGCCUCGUGGCGUUCCCUCAUCGACCACCCAGGCUUCCUUGACGUAUAUUUUUCAUACUCUGUGAGAAGACGGCGUAGCCUUAUUUAG